RNAcentral lists this ribosomal RNA (401 nucleotides) under uncultured Ichthyophonida. Its description in RNAcentral is "partial small subunit ribosomal RNA". It matches the Rfam family "Eukaryotic small subunit ribosomal RNA", at positions 30 to 432 of the family's 1831-position model. Lineage: Eukaryota; Ichthyosporea; Ichthyophonida. The record is from RNAcentral.
GCUUGUCUCAAAGAUUAAGCCAUGCAUGUCUAAGUAUAAACAAAUCUAUACUGUGAAACUGCGAAUGGCUCAUUAAAUCAGUUAUAGUUUAUUUGAUAAUACCUACUACUUGGAUAACCGUAGUAAUUCUAGAGCUAAUACAUGCGAAAAACCUCGACUUUUGGAAGAGGUGUAUUUAUUAGAUACAAAACCAAUGCGGGGCAACCCGGUACCUUGGUGAUUCAUAAUAACUUUGCGAAUCGAAUGGCUUUGCCGUCGAUGAUUCAUUCAAAUUUCUGCCCUAUCAACUUUCGAUGGUAAGGUAUUGGCUUACCAUGGUGACAACGGGUGACGGAGAAUUAGGGUUCGAUUCCGGAGAGGGAGCCUGAGAAACGGCUACCACUUCCAAGGAAGGCAGCAGG